GAGAGGGAGAGAGAGAGAGAGACAGAGAGAGGGAGAGAGAGAGGGAGAGAAAAAGAGAGAGGGGGGGGUUGAGAACAAAAUAAAGAAUGUGACAGAGUGGUUUUCAUUUUCUCAGAGAGAGUGUGAGAGUUAGACUAGCCUGCCAAGUUACAGGUUCAACUCUGUGGCUCCUCAGGCCUGAAGCUCAGCCAGUCCAUCAGCCAAGUUACAGGUUCAACUCUGUGGAUCCUCAGGCCUGAAGCUCAGCCAGUCCAUCAGCCAAGUUACAGGUUCAACUCUGUGGAUCCUCAGGCCUGAAGCUCAGCCAGUCCAUCAGCCAAGUUACAGGUUCAACUCUGUGGCUCCUCAGGCCUGAAGCUCAGCCAGUCCAUCACACCCUACCGUAUAAUGUGACAAUCUUCAUUCAUUAUAAUACUGACCGUGUUCUCAUUGGACAGCUGUAGCCCUCUCACCUAGCCAUUACCACCCCAGUCGGCCAUGGAAAACGAAAUUAUUUAUAAUCAAUGCGUUCCAUUAUUAAGGUGAACAUGUCAAACCGAUGUGAAUGUGUUGGUUU
This is a long non-coding RNA of Oncorhynchus tshawytscha (Chinook salmon), 556 nucleotides long. The record is from Ensembl. NCBI's taxonomy places the organism in Eukaryota, Metazoa, Chordata, Actinopteri, Salmoniformes, Salmonidae.